RNAcentral lists this ribosomal RNA (208 nucleotides) under uncultured bacterium. RNAcentral's name for it is "partial 16S ribosomal RNA". It matches the Rfam family "Bacterial small subunit ribosomal RNA", at positions 335 to 560 of the family's 1533-position model. The record is from RNAcentral.
ACUCCUACGGGAGGCAGCAGUGGGGAAUCUUGCGCAAUGGGCGAAAGCCUGACGCAGCAACGCCGCGUGGGGGAUGAAGGCCCUCGGGUUGUAAACCCCUUUCAGCAGGGACGAAUCUGACGGUACCUGCAGAAGAAGCCCCGGCCAACUACGUGCCAGCAGCCGCGGUAAUACGUAGGAGGCGAGCGUUAUCCGGAUUUACUGGGCG